CAGCCGCCGCGGGAACACGAAGGGUGCAAGCGUUACUCGGAAUUACUGGGCGUAAAGCGUGCGUAGGUGGUGGUUUAAGUCCGUUGUGAAAGCCCUGGGCUCAACCUGGGAAUUGCAGUGGAUACUGGGUCACUAGAGUGUGGUAGAGGAUAGUGGAAUUUCCGGUGUAGCAGUGAAAUGCGUAGAGAUCGGAAGGAACAUCUGUGGCGAAGGCGACUAUCUGGGCCAACACUGACACUGAGGCACGAAAGCAUGGGGAGCAAACAGGAUUAGAUACCCCGGUAGUCCCUGUCUCUUAUAC
This 301-nucleotide ribosomal RNA is filed under the name uncultured bacterium. Its description in RNAcentral is "partial 16S ribosomal RNA". It matches the Rfam family "Bacterial small subunit ribosomal RNA", at positions 509 to 807 of the family's 1533-position model. The record is from RNAcentral.